UUGCUUUCUUUGCUGGCGACCGGCGCACGGGUGAGUAACACGUAUCCAACCUGCCCUUUACUCGGGGAUAGCCUUUCGAAAGAAAGAUUAAUACCCGAUAGUAUAAUGAUUCCGCAUGGUUUCAUUAUUAAAGGAUUCCGGUAAAGGAUGGGGAUGCGUUCCAUUAGGUUGUUGGUGAGGUAACGGCUCACCAAGCCUUCGAUGGAUAGGGGUUCUGGGAGGAAGGUCCCCCACAUUGGAACUGAGACACGGUCCAA
This 257-nucleotide ribosomal RNA is filed under the name uncultured bacterium. RNAcentral describes it as "partial 16S ribosomal RNA". It matches the Rfam family "Bacterial small subunit ribosomal RNA", at positions 76 to 334 of the family's 1533-position model. The record is from RNAcentral.